CACGUAGGGGGCGAGCGUUGUCCGGAUUUAUUGGGCGUAAAGAGCUCGUAGGCGGAUUCUUAAGUCAGGGGUGAAAUCCCGAGGCUCAACCUCGGAACUGCCUUUGAUACUGGGAAUCUUGAGUAUGGUAGAGGUUGGUGGAACAGCAAGUGUAGAGGUGAAAUUCGUAGAUAUUUGCUAGAACACCAGUGGCGAAGGCGGCCAACUGGACCAUAACUGACGCUGAGGUGCGAAAGCGUGGGGAGCAAACAGG
RNAcentral lists this ribosomal RNA (253 nucleotides) under uncultured bacterium. RNAcentral's name for it is "partial 16S ribosomal RNA". It matches the Rfam family "Bacterial small subunit ribosomal RNA", at positions 524 to 776 of the family's 1533-position model. The record is from RNAcentral.